UGGGGAAUAUUGGACAAUGGGCGAAAGCCUGAUCCAGCCAUGCCGCGUGAGUGAUGAAGGCCCUAGGGUUGUAAAGCUCUUUCAGUGGGGAAGAUAAUGACGGUACCCACAGAAGAAGCCCCGGCUAACUUCGUGCCAGCAGCCGCGGUAAUACGAAGGGGGCUAGCGUUGUUCGGAUUUACUGGGCGUAAAGCGCACGUAGGCGGAUCGUUAAGUCGGGGGUGAAAUCCCGGGGCUCAACCCCGGAACUGCCUUCGAUACUGGCGAUCUCGAGUCCGGAAGAGGUGAGUGGAACUCCUAGUGUAGAGGUGGAAUUCGUAGAUAUUAGGAAGAACACCAGUGGCGAAGGCGGCUCACUGGUCCGGUACUGACGCUGAGGUGCGAAAGCGUUGGGAGCAAACA
Molecule: ribosomal RNA, 402 nt
Filed under: uncultured bacterium
Lineage: Bacteria
Description: bacterial SSU rRNA
Rfam family: Bacterial small subunit ribosomal RNA
Source: RNAcentral